CAUGCAAGUCGAACGAAGCCUUCGGGUUUAGUGGCGCACGGGUGCGUAACGCGUGGGAAUCUGCCUUUCGGUUCGGAAUAACUCGGGGAAACCCGUGCUAAUACCGGAUGAUGUCGCGAGACCAAAGAUUUAUCGCCGAAAGAUGAGCCCGCGUAAGAUUAGCUAGUUGGUGGGGUAAAGGCCUACCAAGGCGACGAUCUUUAGCUGGUCUGAGAGGAUGAUCAGCCACACUGGGACUGAGACACGGCCCAGACUCCUACGGGAGGCAGCAGUGGGGAAUAUUGGACAAUGGGCGAAAGCCUGAUCCAGCAAUGCCGCGUGAGUGAUGAAGGCCUUAGGGUUGUAAAGCUCUUUUACCCGGGAUGAUAAUGACAGUACCGGGAGAAUAAGCACCGGCUAACUUCGUGCCAGCAGCCGCGGUAAUACGAAGGGUGCAAGCGUUAAUCGGAAUUACUGGGCGUAAAGCGUGCGUAGGCGGUUGGCUAAGUCAGAUGUGAAAGCCCUGGGCUCAACCUGGGAAUGGCAUUUGAAACUGGCCAGCUAGAGUGUGAUAGAGGAUGGCGGAAUUCCCGGUGUAGCGGUGAAAUGCGUAGAGAUCGGGAGGAACAUCCGUGGCGAAAGCGGCCAUCUGGAUCAACACUGACGCUGA
RNAcentral lists this ribosomal RNA (649 nucleotides) under uncultured bacterium. RNAcentral's name for it is "bacterial SSU rRNA". It matches the Rfam family "Bacterial small subunit ribosomal RNA", at positions 54 to 749 of the family's 1533-position model. The record is from RNAcentral.